GUAGAUCAUCUCCACCAGGAGCCACAACUGCAAGCCGAUGAUGGCGACGUACAUCAUCACCUCGGACAGGAUGGACGCCAUCCCCCUCGUCACUGACACCAAGAGGGGAAAAAACAGCACGAUCGGCCUCGCCGACGGCCUUGAAGAGCCAGGUGACGCUGGCCGUGGCCAUGACCUCUCCCCUCCUCUUGCAUGAGAUGCAGCCCAGCUUGAAGCCUCGGUUGGCCACCGCCUCCGUGUCCGAGUCCACCUCCACGCACGCGCCCGCACACAUGCCCGCUGGAGAGAAGACACAUGUGCCGCAGUCAACACCGAACUCCA
Long non-coding RNA from Hippocampus zosterae (dwarf seahorse), 321 nucleotides. RefSeq lists it as uncharacterized. The record is from RefSeq and is a predicted model, not a curated record. Lineage: Eukaryota; Metazoa; Chordata; Actinopteri; Syngnathiformes; Syngnathidae. The transcript has 3 exons.